This 490-nucleotide ribosomal RNA is filed under the name uncultured bacterium. RNAcentral describes it as "partial 16S ribosomal RNA". It matches the Rfam family "Bacterial small subunit ribosomal RNA", at positions 30 to 507 of the family's 1533-position model. The record is from RNAcentral.
AUUGAACGCUGGCGGCAGGCCUAACACAUGCAAGUCGAACGGUAACAGAAAGCAGCUUGCUGCUUUGCUGACGAGUGGCGGACGGGUGAGUAAUGUCUGGGAAACUGCCUGAUGGAGGGGGAUAACUACUGGAAACGGUAGCUAAUACCGCAUAACGUCGCAAGACCAAAGAGGGGGACCUUCGGGCCUCUUGCCAUCGGAUGUGCCCAGAUGGGAUUAGCUAGUAGGUGGGGUAACGGCUCACCUAGGCGACGAUCCCUAGCUGGUCUGAGAGGAUGACCAGCCACACUGGAACUGAGACGCGGUCCAGACUCCUACGGGAGGCAGCAGUGGGGAAUAUUGCACAAUGGGCGCAAGCCUGAUGCAGCCAUGCCGCGUGUAUGAAGAAGGCCUUCGGGUUGUAAAGUACUUUCAGCGGGGAGGAAGGGAGUAAAGUUAAUACCUUUGCUCAUUGACGUUACCCGCAGAAGAAGCACCGGCUAACUCCGUG